AGUGAACGCUGGCGGUAGGCCUAACACAUGCCAGUCGAACGGCAGCACAGUAAGAGCUUGCUCUUACGGGUGGCGAGUGGCGGACGGGUGAGGAAUACAUCGGAAUCUACUUUUUCGUGGGGGAUAACGUAGGGAAACUUACGCUAAUACCGCAUACGACCUACGGGUGAAAGCAGGGGAUCUUCGGACCUUGCGCGAUUGAAUGAGCCGAUGUCGGAUUAGCUAGUUGGCGGGGUAAAGGCCCACCAAGGCGACGAUCCGUAGCUGGUCUGAGAGGAUGAUCAGCCACACUGGAACUGAGACACGGUCAAGACUCCUACGGGAGGAAGCAGUGGGGAAUAUUGGACAAUGGGCGCAAGCCUGAUCCAGCCAUACCGCGUGGGUGAAGAAGGCCUUCGGGUUGUAAAGCCCUUUUGUUGGGAAAGAAAAGCAGCAGGUUAAUACCCCGCUGUUCUGACGGUACCCAAAGAAUAAGCACCGGCUAACUUCGUG
This 492-nucleotide ribosomal RNA is filed under the name uncultured bacterium. RNAcentral describes it as "partial 16S ribosomal RNA". It matches the Rfam family "Bacterial small subunit ribosomal RNA", at positions 29 to 507 of the family's 1533-position model. The record is from RNAcentral.